RNAcentral lists this ribosomal RNA (253 nucleotides) under uncultured bacterium. RNAcentral's name for it is "partial 16S ribosomal RNA". It matches the Rfam family "Bacterial small subunit ribosomal RNA", at positions 524 to 776 of the family's 1533-position model. The record is from RNAcentral.
GACGAACCGUGCGAACGUUGUUCGGAAUCACUGGGCUUAAAGGGCGCGUAGGCGGGCAGCCAAGUCCGGGGUGAAAUCCUUCGGCUUAACCGGAGAAUUGCCUGGGAUACUGGCUGUCUUGAGGGAGGUAGGGGCACGCGGAACUUCCGGUGGAGCGGUGAAAUGCGUUGAUAUCGGAAGGAACGCCGGUGGCGAAAGCGGCUUCCUGGUCCAGCACCGACGUUCAGGCACGAAAGCGUGGGGAGCAAACAGG